Small nuclear RNA from Lepus europaeus (European hare), 113 nucleotides. RefSeq annotates it as U5 spliceosomal RNA. The transcript has a single exon. The record is from RefSeq and is a predicted model, not a curated record. Lineage: Eukaryota; Metazoa; Chordata; Mammalia; Lagomorpha; Leporidae.
AUACUCUGGUUUCUCUUCAAAUCGUAUAGAUCUUUUAUCUUUCACUAAAAAUUUCCAUGGAAAGUAAACCAAGAGUGUACUAAUUCUAACACUUGAGUGAUGUGUUGAUAACU